Molecule: long non-coding RNA, 888 nt
Filed under: Sorghum bicolor (sorghum)
Lineage: Eukaryota; Viridiplantae; Streptophyta; Magnoliopsida; Poales; Poaceae
Description: long non-coding RNA (SBIC_LNC003887)
Source: RNAcentral
UCUACCCUCUCUGUUCGGCUUUGGCCAUUCAGAAAGCCAGUGGUGGCAGCGGCAGGCUGUUGUUGAGCCCUGACCGCAUCCUCCUCUUCCUGAGCCUCUCUGCAAUGAUGAAGGCAAGCUCCAGGGACUGGGAGGCGUUCAGUCUUGGGUCACAGUGGGUGUGGUAGCGGUCGCUCAGGUCGUCAAAGGUCACAGUCCGUGAUCCACCAAUGCACUCGGUCACGUUCUGCCCAGUCAUUUCAAGGUGGAUACCUCCUGGGUGACUUCCUUCUUGGUCAUGCACGUCGAAGAAUGCGCGCACUUCAGCCUGUUAGAUAUAGUGGAGUUCGUGAUUAGAGCAAUGAUAUCAGUUGGAAGGUCAGGAUGGAAUGUUUCUAGAUAAAGUGUAAAUACUCCAGUGAAAAUACAUUGAUCAAAGCCAUUGUCAACCAAUUCAUUUAUCAAAUAUAUUACUCUUAGAGUGACAUUUUAACAUCCAUUCAUGAAGCUAAAAAGACAUCAGCAAAUGGCUUGUAUCAAAGCUUAAGCUGAAAACUCGUCAAUAGCAGCACCUAAAAUGCUGACCCAAAGUAUGCUUAAAAAUGAAUUUGAACAAGAUCAUUUAGCCCCCGCCCAGCAAAGACCUGUUAAGGAUAAGUGGCGCAGUGACCUUACUUCUAUUAAAUCAUAAGCAGAUACAAUAUUCCAGAAGUAUGAUGUAUGCCCUAAAGUCCUGCAAUCUUACAGACUAGUAGAAACACAGAGCAAAAGAAUGGAUAGGAACUUUAGAUAUCAUUCCAUAUUCUCGAUACAGAUAUGAACGCUCAAACAAAACUGAGACUCAUUCAAACUUAUCAUAACAGAAACGCAUACUAGCGAAUAAUGAAGAAAUUUGCAGUGGAAGGUGAC